This 75-nucleotide transfer RNA is filed under the name Alphaproteobacteria bacterium. Its description in RNAcentral is "tRNA-Lys". It matches the Rfam family "tRNA". Rfam says of the family: Transfer RNA (tRNA) molecules are approximately 80 nucleotides in length. Their secondary structure includes four short double-helical elements and three loops (D, anti-codon, and T loops). Lineage: Bacteria; Pseudomonadati; Pseudomonadota; Alphaproteobacteria. The record is from RNAcentral.
GGGCCCGUAGCUCAGUGGCAGAGCAUCUGACUUUUAAUCAGAGGGUCGAUGGUUCGAAUCCAUCCGGGCUCACCA